Molecule: ribosomal RNA, 484 nt
Filed under: uncultured bacterium
Lineage: Bacteria
Description: partial 16S ribosomal RNA
Rfam family: Bacterial small subunit ribosomal RNA
Source: RNAcentral
AUUGAACGCUGGCGGCAGGCCUAACACAUGCAAGUCGAGCGGAUGAAGGGAGCUUGCUCCUGGAUUCAGCGGCGGACGGGUGAGUAAUGCCUAGGAAUCUGCCUGGUAGUGGGGGAUAACGUCCGGAAACGGGCGCUAAUACCGCAUACGUCCUGAGGGAGAAAGUGGGGGGUCUUCGGACCUCACGCUAUCAGAUGAGCCUAGGUCGGAUUUGCUAGUUGGUGGGGUAAAGGCCUACUAAGGCGACGAUCCGUAACUGGUCUGAGAGGAUGAUCAGUCACACUGGAACUGAGACACGGUCCAGACUCCUAAGGGAGGCAGCAGUGGGGAAUAUUGGACAAUGGGCGAAAGCCUGAUCCAGCCAUGCCGCGUGUGUGAAGAAGGUCUUCGGAUUGUAAAGCACUUUAAGCUGGGAGGAAGGGCAGUAAGUUAAUACCUUGCUGUUUUGACGUUACCAACAGAAUAAGCACCGGCUAACCUCGUG